Molecule: long non-coding RNA, 581 nt
Organism: Mercenaria mercenaria
Lineage: Eukaryota; Metazoa; Mollusca; Bivalvia; Venerida; Veneridae
Exons: 4
Source: RefSeq, a predicted model, not a curated record
GAAAUGUUGAUCUAGGAGCUGCAUAGCAUAACAAAAUGGAUGGAAGUUUGAACACAACUGGCUGGAGUUGGAGUGGGAAAGUACUUCGACGAAAAUGCUGGCAUAUUACGUAAGGUUGAGUUGAUGUCUUGUGAUAAUUAACUAAGACAACAACCAGCUAAAUGUGCUGUCGCCAGUAAUAUCUACCACACGAUAGUGAACCAAUGGAAAAAAGUAGAGGAAACACACAUAUAUCUGUAGCUACAUGAAUGGCAAGGCCUAGCAACCAAGCUGACAAAGAUACCAGCUGAAAUGACAAUCUCUUAUGGUAAGAACUCCUUCAAGUAUGCUGCGCCAGUGCUGUGGAACUCCCUACCAGAACACUUCAGGACCUGUUCCAGCUUCAACCAGUUCAGAAGCCUAAUAUCUACACGGAGUGGCAGGGACUGUAAGUCUAUCGCUUGCAAACCAGCCGAGUAUUUUUGUGUUCAACAUAUUGCCAUAUCUAAGGGACUCCACCCUGCAGGAUAACUUACAGCAACUCCCAAACAUGGUGAGGAUAGAAAUGGGGGUGUGACAGUGUUUGCAUAUGUGCUACAAAU